GGGUCUGCGUUUCAUUAGCUUGUUGGUAGGGUAAUGGCCUACCAAGGCAACGAUGAGUAGCUGGUCUGAGAGGAUGAUCAGCCACACUGGAACUGAAACACGGUCCAGACUCCUACGGGAGGCAGCAGUGGGAAUAUUGCGCAAUGGGCGAAAGCCUGACGCAGCAACGCCGUGUGAGGGAUGAAGGCUUUCGGGUCGUAAACCUCUGUCGGAAGGGAAGAACGGGCAUUGGUCUAAUAGGCCUUUGUUUUGACGGUACCUUUAGAGGAAGCACCGGCUAACUCCGUGCCAGCAGCCGCGGUAAUACGGAGGGUGCAAGCGUUAUUCGGAAUUACUGGGCGUAAAGCGCACGUAGGCCGCUUUGUAAGUCAGGGGUGAAAUCCCACGGCUCAACCGUGGAACUGCCUUUGAAACUGCAGAGCUUGAAUCCUGGAGAGGGUGGCGGAAUUCCUGGUGUAGGAGUGAAAUCCGUAGAUAUCAGGAGGAACACCGGUGGCGAAGGCGGCCACCUGGACAGGUAUUGACGCUGAGGUGCGAAAGUGUGGGGAGCAAACAGGAUUAGAUACCCUGGUAGUCCACACCGUAAACGAUGAAUACUAGAUGCCGGAC
RNAcentral lists this ribosomal RNA (609 nucleotides) under uncultured sulfate-reducing bacterium. RNAcentral describes it as "bacterial SSU rRNA". It matches the Rfam family "Bacterial small subunit ribosomal RNA", at positions 227 to 828 of the family's 1533-position model. The record is from RNAcentral.